GACGAACGCUGGCGGCGUGCUUAACACAUGCAAGUCGAGCGGUAAGGCCCCUUCGGGGGUACACGAGCGGCGAACGGGUGAGUAACACGUGAGCAAUCUGCCCUUCACUUUGGGAUAACUCUGGGAAACGAGAGCUAAUACCGAAUACGACCACUUCAGGCAUCUGAUGGUGGUGGAAAGUUCCGGCGGUGAAGGAUGAGCUCGCGGCCUAUCAGCUAGUUGGUGGAGUAACGGGCCCACCAAGGCUUCGACGGGUAGCCGGCCUGAGAGGGUGACCGGCCACACUGGGACUGAGACACGGCCCAGACUCCUACGGGAGGCAGCAGUGGGGAAUAUUGGACAAUGGGCGAAAGCCUGAUCCAGCAACGCCGCGUGAGGGAUGACGGCCUUC
RNAcentral lists this ribosomal RNA (391 nucleotides) under uncultured bacterium. RNAcentral describes it as "bacterial SSU rRNA". It matches the Rfam family "Bacterial small subunit ribosomal RNA", at positions 28 to 419 of the family's 1533-position model. The record is from RNAcentral.